GUUUGAUCCUGGCUCAGGACGAACGCUGGCGGCGUGCCUAACACAUGCAAGUCGAGCGAAGUGUUUAGAGAAGAUAUUUUCGGAUAGAAUCUCUAAACAUCUUAGCGGCGGACGGGUGAGUAACGCGUGAGAAACCUGCCUUUCACAAAGGGAUAGCCUCGGGAAACUGGGAUUAAUACCAUAUAAAGUUUCAUCUUAGCCUUAAGAAGAAACCAAAGCGUAAAGCGGUGAAAGAUGGUCUCGCGUCCCAUUAGCUAGUUGGUGAGAUAAAAGCCCACCAAGGCGACGAUGGGUAGCCGGCUAAGGAGGGUGAACGGCCACCACUGAAACCUGAGAACGGUCCAGAUCUACCGGGAGGCAGGCAGUGGGGAAUAUUGCACAAUGGAGGAAACUCUGAUGCAGCGACGCCGCGUGAGGCGACGAAGGCUUUCGAGUCGUAAAGCUCUGUCCUUGGGGACGAUAAUGACGGUACCCAAGGAGGAAGCCCCGGCUAACUACGUGCCAGCAGCCGCGGUAAUACGUAGGGGGCGAGCGUUGUCCGGAUUUAUUGGGCGUAAAGGGUUCGCAGGCGGCCUUUUAAGUCAGAUGUGAAAUCCCAUGGCUUAACCCAUGGUAAGCAUUUGAAACUGAAAGGCUUGAGUUAAGGAGAGGAAAGUGGAAUUCCUAGUGUAGCGGUGAAAUGCGUAGAUAUUAGGAGGAAUACCAGUGGCGAAGGCGACUUUCUGGACUUUAACUGACGCUGAGGAACGAAAGCGUGGGUAGCAAACAGGAUUAGAUACCCUGGUAGUCCACGCCGUAAGCGAUGAGUGCUAGGUGUUGGGGGUCAAACCUCGGUGCCGGAGCUAACGCAUUAAGCACUCCGCCUGGGGAGUACGUACGCAAGUAUGAAACUCAAAGGAAUUGACGGGGACCCGCACAAGCAGCGGAGCAUGUGGUUUAAUUCGAAGCAACGCGAAGAACCUUACCAGGGCUUGACAUGCCUCUGACCUAUCUAGAGAUAGAUAUUUACCUCGGGUACAGAGGACACAGGUGGUGCAUGGUGUCGUCAGCUCGUGUCGUGAGAUGUUGGGUUAAGUCCCGCAACGAGCGCAACCCUGUCUUUAGUUGCUAACAGGUGAUGCUGAGCACUCUAAGAGAGACUUGCCGAUGAUAAUCGGAGGAAGUGGGAUGACGUCAAAUCAUCAUGCGCCUUAUGUCUGGGCUACACACGUGCUACAAUGGUCGGUACAACGAGGAGCUACCUAGCGAUAGGAUGCAAAUCUCUAAAAGCCGAUCCCAGUUCGGAUUGCAGGCUGCAACUCGCCUGCAUGAAGUCGGAGUUGCUAGUAAUCGCGGAUCAGAAUGUCGCGGUGAAUGCGUUCCCGGGUCUUGUACACACCGCCCGUCACACCAUG
Molecule: ribosomal RNA, 1394 nt
Filed under: uncultured Tissierellaceae bacterium
Lineage: Bacteria; Bacillati; Bacillota; Tissierellia; Tissierellales; Tissierellaceae
Description: bacterial SSU rRNA
Rfam family: Bacterial small subunit ribosomal RNA
Source: RNAcentral